GACGAACGCUGGCGGCGUGCUUAACACAUGCAAGUCGAACGGUGAAGCUCCAGCUUGCUGGAGUGGAUCAGUGGCGAACGGGUGAGUAACACGUGAGCAACCUGCCCCUGACUCUGGAAUAAGCGCUGGAAACGGCGUCUAAUACUGGAUACGAGAAGAGUCCGCAUGGGCACUUUCUGGAAAGUUUUUCGGUUGGGGAUGGGUUCGCGGCCUAUCAGCUUGUUGGUGAGGUAAUGGUUCACCAAGGCGACGAAGGGUAGCCGGCCUGUGAGGGCGACCGGCCACCAUGGGACUGCGACACGGCCCAGACUGCUACAGGAGGCAGCAGUGGGGAAUAUUGCACAAUGGGCGCAAGCCUGAUGCAGAGACGCCGCGUGAGGGAUGACGGUUUUCGGGUUGUGAAACUCUUUAAGCAGGGAACAAGCGAAAGUGACGGUACCUACAGAAGAAGCACCGGCUAACUACGUG
This 468-nucleotide ribosomal RNA is filed under the name uncultured bacterium. RNAcentral describes it as "partial 16S ribosomal RNA". It matches the Rfam family "Bacterial small subunit ribosomal RNA", at positions 28 to 507 of the family's 1533-position model. The record is from RNAcentral.